AUUACAGAAUACAUGUUUUAACGUAUUUAAAUAUAACUUUUUUCGAAUUAAAUAACUAAAAUUGGGGGUAAAUCUAUAUUUUACAGCUUUUGAAAAAAUUAUGUUUUAAUGAAAAUUUCUAUAACUCGAAGUCGCUCUAACUCGAAGUUUUUUUGUGGAUUAUGGUGAUUCGAGUUAGAGAAGUUCCACUGUAGCUAUUUGUGCAAAAUUCUAAAAUUUAAUUAAGUAUUAUUUAACUUUUGAAUGAAAUGUUUUCGAUUUAUUAAUAUGAAAUUGGCCCCCGUUUUUGUUUUUCAAAAGUUUUAGCCAAUUUGCCAUAGAAUUGGCCAACUUUUACAGUACUGAAAGAUUUAUAUUCGCCCAUUAUCAUUAGUGGCUUGUUUUAGCUGUUUUGAGCUGUCAUACUGCUUUGCUCAGCUAAAAAAUGUUGCGAAAAGUAUGUCCAAUAAAUACUCUAUUGAAUUCACUGUCCAGAAAAUCCAUAUAUAUUUUGCUUUCACACGAUUCGGACAAGGCAAAUGGGUGACUUCCAAUUGGCGCUAAGAGCAGCCCAUUAGAGAUCCACCGCCAUGUUUGCUCUUAUAGUAAGUAUGGCGAAGGUGCCGUAAAUCCCUCCAAUACUUAUGAUCCAUCUAAAAUUAAUGUUUUCUAAUCACAAAAUAUCAAAUUUACUCUACCAGUCGUAACGCCUUACACAGUAAAUAAUUUUUACGUGAGAUAAAAAUGCUAUACAAACAUUUCUGGAACAAACGUUUUGGGAAGUGAAUUAACGUACUUCAAAUUGUUAUGGUAAUUGUUCAGGAACGAAUCAAGAUUAUUUUUAAUGGAAGUUUUGAAGAUUUUAACUUGUGAAAUUAAUGAAGACUGAGAUGAUUUGUGGUUUUUGUGAAAUAAGUGUUUAAUAUCACCUAUUUUUUUACGUUUUUUGUGCGAUCCCCCUUUAGUAUUAUUUUAUAUUGUCUUUAGCAGAGUCUUAAAGCAAUAAAAGUGUUAAAGUUAGGUGUGGAAAUUUGCAGAUGUAUUUGCAAUCGUCAAAAUACUAAUGCACUAUGAAUUCACUAUUUUUACCUUCAAACUCAUUAUAACGAGCUAUGAAAGGUAGGAAAGAAGGUUAUAUGUAUCGACGUUAUUUCAAUCUGUGUACGAUUUAAUAGAGGAGACGUUAUACGUUUUUGUUCUAAUUAUAAUGGCUGUGGAAAUUAACUGCAUUAAUUUGAUAAUUUACUUGUUUCCUACAUGAUUUUUUAUAUGUUAUUAUUCUUUUAGGUGGAGUUUGGGGGUUGAAUGGGGGAAACUAUAACGAAAAAUCAUGUGAAGCUUUUUUCUCGCUUUCUUAAAUAUUUUUACAAGCCUUAGAAAAUUUUGAUGCUCCGACCAAGACCAUGAGGAAUAUUUUUUCGCAUCAUUGCCAUAUAAGUACAAUUACCAUAUAUUUAAAAUAUUUUUCUAAAUUUUUUAUUUGCGACAAUCUUGCAACUAUGCGAGACUAUUUUACUGACAUUUGACGCAAAUCACAACCAUCUGCUGAUUCAAUGCGCGAGUUAGCGAUGCUGAAGAUAGCCUAAGUAAAUUUCACACUUAACCUAAACAAACAAUAAAAAUUCCUGCAUUAUUAACACAACAGACAGAAUCCCAUAACGAAAAACUGAUAAGCAUAGCAAAACUAUAUUUGUUCUAGCAAGAUAAUGGAUAUCGAAUUACAACAAAGAAGUUGCAUGCAGAUAACAGCAGCCGCAUUCCAUUAGUAUAAAAGGCACUAAGAUUAUAAAAUGUAGUCAGUAAGAAAUUAAGAAUAAAUUAAUAAAAAAGGCAACACGAAAAUAAGUGUACUGCUCAAAUAAAUAUAAUCUCUUUUACUCACGACAAACAACAGUACGUUAACUGGGGGCUCAAACCGGUCUUUAAGCCAUCUCUAUCCAUUGAGGAAAAGGAUAGAAAAAAUUCCACGGGAAGUAGGACUUCCAUCACUAGAUCUUUGAAAAAGAUAAAACAGUCAAGCAACGUUAUACCAACGGACAUCACAACACGCUGGAAUCUCAUCAAAAGAGACAAAAGCCGUUCAAUUUGCGCCGUCCCUUAUUAAACACCGACGUCAAGAUGACAACACAAGAAAUCGCAAGCUAGAGAGCACAAAUCGCUGCUCUGACCACAACGCUCACUGAAACUCAACAAAGGUUGAAUUCGUUCGAAACCUACGCAACACCUAACGUCACAGUCACAAACCAAUACAAGGACUACCUCCAAAUAAUCAAUUUCGCUGAAACCCUCAAAAAAGAGAACGAAAUCCUUCAUCAGCAGAAAUUUUUAAGUGUAAACCAGACAUGCAAUGAAGAACUACAAUCGCUUACACCAGAAUACGAGAACGAUGAUUACGAAACAGGCAGCGCUUUUUUAAGUCGCAUGAACGAUUUGCCGUGUCUGUAACACCACUGCAGGGAUACAGGCAAACUUAUUAACAUCCUGAUUGACACUGGAGCAACAAACAAUUAUAUAAGUACAAAAUGUAACUUAGGUAAUGCUAUUCAAAUUAAACCUGUAAAAGUGAAAA
This is a long non-coding RNA of Zeugodacus cucurbitae (melon fly), 2548 nucleotides long. RefSeq lists it as uncharacterized. The record is from RefSeq and is a predicted model, not a curated record. The transcript is spliced from 2 exons. NCBI's taxonomy places the organism in Eukaryota, Metazoa, Arthropoda, Insecta, Diptera, Tephritidae.